This 603-nucleotide unclassified non-coding RNA is filed under the name leaf metagenome. RNAcentral describes it as "partial contains small subunit ribosomal RNA, internal transcribed spacer 1, 5.8S ribosomal RNA, internal transcribed spacer 2, and large subunit ribosomal RNA". The stretch from base 228 to 381 matches the Rfam family "5.8S ribosomal RNA". The record is from RNAcentral.
GAAGUAAAAGUCGUAACAAGGUUUCCGUUGGUGAACCAGCGGAAGGAUCAUUACAGCGAAGCGGCGCGAGCCGCCUUUCGAACCACCGCGUACCGAACCCCCCACGUUGCCUCGGCGGGCGCCGGGCGCCCCGCGCCCGCCCCGCCGAACGGCCCCCCAGCAAGACCCCUUCCGUCGAGAUGGCGUCGUCUGAACCCUCCGGGGAAAACGUUUGAAACGAAAAACACAGCUUUCAACAAUGGAUCUCUUGGCUCCGGCAUCGAUGAAGAACGCAGCGAAACGCGAUAGCUAGUGUGAAUUGCAGAUUUCAGUGAAUCAUCGAGUCUUUGAACGCACAUUGCGCCUCUUGGUAUUCCUCGAGGCAUGCCUGUUCGAGCGUCGUUACGCCCCUCAAGCGCGAGCUUGGUGUUGGGGACCGCCCCUGAGACACGGCGGCGGCCCCGGAAUGCAUCGGCGGUGCUGGUCCCAGCCCGGAGCGCAGCAGACAUGCGGCUCCGCGGGCGGGGCCGGCGCCCGCCGGACAAACGACGAGACCCCUCCACAAGUCGACCUCGAAUCAGGUAGGGAUACCCGCUGAACUUAAGCAUAUCAAUAAGCGGAGGA